RNAcentral lists this transfer RNA (72 nucleotides) under Cladosporium sphaerospermum UM 843. RNAcentral's name for it is "tRNA-Ala (CGC) (tRNA-Ala-CGC-1 1 to 3)". It matches the Rfam family "tRNA". From Rfam's summary of the family: Transfer RNA (tRNA) molecules are approximately 80 nucleotides in length. Their secondary structure includes four short double-helical elements and three loops (D, anti-codon, and T loops). Further hydrogen bonds mediate the characteristic L-shaped molecular structure. tRNAs have two regions of fundamental functional importance: the anti-codon, which is responsible for specific mRNA codon recognition, and the 3' end, to which the tRNAs corresponding amino acid is attached (by aminoacyl-tRNA synthetases). tRNAs cope with the degeneracy of the genetic code in two manners: having more than one tRNA (with a specific anti-codon) for a particular amino acid; and 'wobble' base-pairing, i.e. permitting non-standard base-pairing at the 3rd anti-codon position. Lineage: Eukaryota; Fungi; Ascomycota; Dothideomycetes; Cladosporiales; Cladosporiaceae. The record is from RNAcentral.
GGGCGCUUGGUCUAGGGGUAUGAUAUCUUCUUCGCAUGGAGAUGGUCGUGGGUUCAAUUCCCACAGCGUCCA